UAUUGCUUCGACAAUGCAUAUACUAAAAUUGGAAUGAUACAGAGAAGAUUAUCAUGGUCAAUGCACAAAGAUGACGCGCAAAUUCGUGAAUAGUUGUGCAUUUUU
Non-coding RNA from Octopus bimaculoides (California two-spot octopus), 105 nucleotides. Lineage: Eukaryota; Metazoa; Mollusca; Cephalopoda; Octopoda; Octopodidae. The record is from Rfam.